This 265-nucleotide ribosomal RNA is filed under the name uncultured archaeon. RNAcentral describes it as "partial 16S ribosomal RNA". It matches the Rfam family "Archaeal small subunit ribosomal RNA", at positions 717 to 982 of the family's 1478-position model. The record is from RNAcentral.
AGACGUCUACAUUAGAUACCCGCGUAGUCCCAGCCGUAAACUAUGCGCGUUAGGUGUAUCGGUGACCACGAGUUACCGAGGUGCCGAAGGGAAACCGUGAAACGUGCCGCCUGGGAAGUACGGUCGCAAGGCUGAAACUUAAAGGAAUUGGCGGGGGAGCACCACAACAGGUGGAGCCUGCGGUUUAAUUGGACUCAACGCCGGGAAGCUCACCGGAUAGGACAGCAGAAUGAUUGCCGGGCUGAAGACCCUGCAUGACUAGCUG